UGGGGGAUAUUGCACAAUGGGCGAAAGCCUGAUGCAGCGACGCCGCGUGGGGGAUGAAGGCCUUCGGGUUGUAAACUUCUUUUGCUCUGAACAAGGCAUGCUAAUGGGUGUGUUGAGUGUAGGGGUUGAUUAGCGCCGGCUAACUACGUGCCAGCAGCCGCGGUAAUACGUAGGGCGCGAGCGUUGUCCGGAAUUAUUGGGCGUAAAGGGCUUGUAGGUGGCUGGUUGCGUCUGUCGUGAAAGCUCAUGGCUUAACUGUGGGUUUGCGGUGGGUACGGGCUGGCUUGAGUGCAGUAGGGGAGGCUGGAAUUCCUGGUGUAGCGGUGGAAUGCGCAGAUAUCAGGAGGAAUACCGGUGGCGAAGGCGGGUCUCUGGGCUGUUACUGACGCUGAGGAGCGAAAGCAUGGGGAGCGAACAGG
This 419-nucleotide ribosomal RNA is filed under the name bacterium. RNAcentral describes it as "partial 16S ribosomal RNA". It matches the Rfam family "Bacterial small subunit ribosomal RNA", at positions 355 to 776 of the family's 1533-position model. The record is from RNAcentral.